CGUAGGGUGCAAGCGUUAAUCGGAAUUACUGGGCGUAAAGCGUGCGCAGGCGGUGAUGUAAGACAGGUGUGAAAUCCCCGGGCUUAACCUGGGAACUGCAUUUGUGACUGCAUCGCUGGAGUGCGGCAGAGGGGGAUGGAAUUCCGCGUGUAGCAGUGAAAUGCGUAGAUAUGCGGAGGAACACCGAUGGCGAAGGCAAUCCCCUGGGCCUGCACUGACGCUCAUGCACGAAAGCGUGGGGAGCAAACAGGAUUAGAUACCCUGGUAGUCCACGCCCUAAACGAUGUCAACUGGUUGUUGGUCCUUCACUGGAUCAGUAGCGAAGCUAACGCGUGAAGUUGACCGCCUGGGGAGUACGGCCGCAAGGUUG
This 370-nucleotide ribosomal RNA is filed under the name uncultured organism. Its description in RNAcentral is "bacterial SSU rRNA". It matches the Rfam family "Bacterial small subunit ribosomal RNA", at positions 526 to 896 of the family's 1533-position model. The record is from RNAcentral.